UACGUAGGGUGCGAGCGUUAAUCGGAAUUACUGGGCGUAAAGCGUGCGCAGGCGGUUCUGAAAGUCAGCUGUGAAAGCCCCGGGCUUAACCUGGGAACUGCGGUUGAAACUACAGGACUAGAAUCUGGCAGAGGGGGGUGGAAUUCCACGUGUAGCAGUGAAAUGCGUAGAGAUGUGGAGGAACACCGAUGGCGAAGGCAGCCCCCUGGGCUGAGAUUGACGCUCAUGCACGAAAGCGUGGGGAGCAAACAGG
This 253-nucleotide ribosomal RNA is filed under the name uncultured bacterium. RNAcentral describes it as "partial 16S ribosomal RNA". It matches the Rfam family "Bacterial small subunit ribosomal RNA", at positions 524 to 776 of the family's 1533-position model. The record is from RNAcentral.